UGGGGAAUUUUGCGCAAUGGGCGAAAGCCUGACGCAGCAACGCCGCGUGGGUGAUGAAGGUCUUCGGAUCGUAAAACCCUGUCGUCAGGGACGAAGGUCGGGGGGUGAACAGCCCCUUGGCUUGACGGUACCUGGAGAGGAAGCCCCGGCUAACUCUGUGCCAGCAGCCGCGGUAAUACAGAGGGGGCAAGCGUUAUUCGGAAUUAUUGGGCGUAAAGGGCGCGUAGGCGGUGUCUUAAGUGGGAUGUGCAAUCCCCGGGCUUAACCUGGGAACUGCAUCCCAGACUGGGACGCUGGAGUACUGGAGAGGGUGGUGGAAUUCCACGUGUAGCGGUGAAAUGCGUAGAAAUGUGGAGGAACACCAGUGGCGAAGGCGGCCACCUGGACAGUAACUGACGCUGAGGCGCGAAAGUGUGGGUAGCAAACA
RNAcentral lists this ribosomal RNA (427 nucleotides) under uncultured prokaryote. RNAcentral's name for it is "bacterial SSU rRNA". It matches the Rfam family "Bacterial small subunit ribosomal RNA", at positions 355 to 774 of the family's 1533-position model. The record is from RNAcentral.